Molecule: ribosomal RNA, 373 nt
Filed under: uncultured Bacteroidota bacterium
Lineage: Bacteria; Pseudomonadati; Bacteroidota
Description: bacterial SSU rRNA
Rfam family: Bacterial small subunit ribosomal RNA
Source: RNAcentral
UAAUACGGAGGGUGCAAGCGUUGUCCGGAUUUAUUGGGUUUAAAGGGUGCGUAGGCGGUUUAUAAAGUCAGUGGUGAAAGUCUUCGGCUCAACCGGAGGAUUGCCAUUGAAACUUAUAGACUUGAGUACAGUAGAGGUAGGCGGAAUUUAUGGUGUAGCGGUGAAAUGCAUAGAUACCAUAAAGAACACCGAUAGCGAAGGCAGCUUACUAUGCUGUUACAGACGCUGAGGCACGAAAGCGUGGGGAGCGAACAGGAUUAGAUACCCUGGUAGUCCACGCCGUAAACGAUGCUCACUCGAUGUUGGCGAUAUACAGUCAGCGUCCAAGCGAAAGCGUUAAGUGAGCCACCUGGGGAGUACGCUGGCAACAGUG